CGGAUACUGACCCUCGCAGGCAUCUGCGAGGUUCCAAAGCUCCGGGGGUGCAUGAUGAACCCGCGGCCUAACUACUUGUUGGUGAGGUAAUGGGUCACCAAGGGGACCACUGGGAGCCGGCCUGAAAAGGAGACCGGCCCCCCUGGGACUGAAACCCGGCCCAAAAUCCUACCGGAGGGAGCAGUGGGGAAUAUUGGACAAUGGGCGAAAGCCUGAUGCAGCGACUCCGCGUGAGGGAUGACGGCCUUCUGGUUGUAAACCUCUUUCAACAGGGAAGAAGCGAACGUGACGGUACCUGCUUAAGAAGCGCCGGCUAACUACGUGCCAGCAGCCGCGGUAAUACUGUGGGCGCGAGCGUUGUCCGGAAUUAUUGGGCGUAAAGAGCUCGUAGGCGGCUUGUCACGUCGGUUGUGAAAGCCCGGGGCUUAACCCCGGGUCUGCAGUCGAUACGGUCAGGCUAGAGUUCGGUAGGGGAGAUCGGAAUUCCUGGUGUAGCGGUGAAAUGCGCAGAUAUCAGGAGGAAUACCGGUGGCGAAGGCGGAUCUCUGGGCCGAUACUGACGCUGAGGAGCGAAAGCGUGGGGAGCGAACAGGAUUAGAUACCCUGGUAGUCCACGCCAGUAAACGGUGGGCACUAGGUGUGGGCGACAUUCCACGUCGUCCGUGCCGCAGCUAACGCAUUAAGUGCCCCGCCUGGGGAGUACGGCCGCAAGGCUAAAACUCAAAGGAAUUGACGGGGGCCCGCACAAGCGGCGGAGCAUGUGGCUUAAUUCGACGCAACGCGAAGAACCUUACCAAGGCUUGACAUACACCGGAAAGCAUUAGAGAUAGUGCCCCCCUUGUGGUUUGUGUACAGGUGGUGCAUGGCUGUCGUCAGCUUGUGUCGUGAGAUGUCGGGUUAAGUCCCGCAACGAGCGCAACCCUUGUCCCGUGUUGCCAGCAGGCCCUUGUGGUGUAAGGGAGUCACGGGAGACCGCCGGGGUCAACUCGGAGGAAGGUGGGGGGGACGUCAAGUCAUCAUGCCCCUUAUGUCUUGGCAGGCACACACGCUUCAAUCACCGGUCCAAUGAAAUGGGAUACCCCGAGGGGGAGGGAAUCUCUAAAAACCGGUCGCAGUUAGUCUUGGGGUGUGUAACUAAAUCCCAUGCAGUAAGUGUGGAUAGUAAUUGCUGAUCGGCAUGGAUGCGGCGAAUACGUUCCCGGCCGUCGUACACCCCGCCCGUCAUGUCACCAAAGUAGGUAACACCAGAAGCAGUAGGCCGUAACCCCGCAAGGAGGAAGCUACG
RNAcentral lists this ribosomal RNA (1285 nucleotides) under Streptomyces sp. Its description in RNAcentral is "bacterial SSU rRNA". It matches the Rfam family "Bacterial small subunit ribosomal RNA", at positions 170 to 1458 of the family's 1533-position model. Lineage: Bacteria; Bacillati; Actinomycetota; Actinomycetes; Kitasatosporales; Streptomycetaceae. The record is from RNAcentral.